This 497-nucleotide ribosomal RNA is filed under the name uncultured bacterium. Its description in RNAcentral is "partial 16S ribosomal RNA". It matches the Rfam family "Bacterial small subunit ribosomal RNA", at positions 28 to 507 of the family's 1533-position model. The record is from RNAcentral.
GAUGAACGCUGGCGGCGUGCCUAAUACAUGCAAGUCGAGCGAACAGACGAGGAGCUUGCUCCUCUGACGUUAGCGGCGGACGGGUGAGUAACACGUGGAUAACCUACCUAUAAGACUGGGAUAACUUCGGGAAACCGGAGCUAAUACCGGAUAAUAUAUUGAACCGCAUGGUUCAAUAGUGAAAGACGGUUUUGCUGUCACUUAUAGAUGGAUCCGCGCCGCAUUAGCUAGUUGGUAAGGUAACGGCUUACCAAGGCAACGAUGCGUAGCCGACCUGAGAGGGUGAUCGGCCACACUGGAACUGAGACACGGUCCAGACUCCUACGGGAGGCAGCAGUAGGGAAUCUUCCGUAAUGGGCGAAAGCCUGACGGAGCAACGCCGCGUGAGUGAUGAAGGUCUUCGGAUCGUAAAACUCUGUUAUUAGGGAAGAACAAAUGUGUAAGUAACUAUGCACGUCUUGACGGUACCUAAUCAGAAAGCCACGGCUAGCUACGUG